RNAcentral lists this ribosomal RNA (863 nucleotides) under uncultured bacterium. RNAcentral describes it as "bacterial SSU rRNA". It matches the Rfam family "Bacterial small subunit ribosomal RNA", at positions 8 to 853 of the family's 1533-position model. The record is from RNAcentral.
AGAGUUUGAUCCUGGCUCAGGACGAACGCUGGCGGCGUGCCUAAUACAUGCAAGUAGAACGCUGAAGUCUGGUGCUUGCACUAGACGGAUGAGUUGCGAACGGGUGAGUAACGCGUAGGUAACCUGCCUCAUAGCGGGGGAUAACUAUUGGAAACGAUAGCUAAUACCGCAUAACAGUAUUUACCGCAUGGUAGAUGCUUAAAAGGAGCAAUUGCUUCACUAUGAGAUGGACCUGCGUUGUAUUAGCUAGUUGGUGAGGUAACGGCUCACCAAGGCAUCGAUACAUAGCCGACCUGAGAGGGUGAUCGGCCACACUGGGACUGAGACACGGCCCAGACUCCUACGGGAGGCAGCAGUAGGGAAUCUUCGGCAAUGGGGGCAACCCUGACCGAGCAACGCCGCGUGAGUGAAGAAGGUUUUCGGAUCGUAAAGCUCUGUUGUAAGAGAAGAACUGUGAGAAGAGUGGAAAGUUUCUCACUUGACGGUAUCUUACCAGAAAGGGACGGCUAACUACGUGCCAGCAGCCGCGGUAAUACGUAGGUCCCGAGCGUUGUCCGGAUUUAUUGGGCGUAAAGCGAGCGCAGGCGGUUUGAUAAGUCUGAAGUAAAAGGCUGUGGCUUAACCAUAAUACGCUUUGGAAACUGUCAAACUUGAGUGCAGAAGGGGAGAGUGGAAUUCCAUGUGUAGCGGUGAAAUGCGUAGAUAUAUGGAGGAACACCGGUGGCGAAAGCGGCUCUCUGGUCUGUAACUGACGCUGAGGCUCGAAAGCGUGGGGAGCGAACAGGAUUAGAUACCCUGGUAGUCCACGCCGUAAACGAUGAGUGCUAGGUGUUGGGUCCUUUCCGGGACUCAGUGCCGCAGCU